This 433-nucleotide ribosomal RNA is filed under the name uncultured bacterium. RNAcentral's name for it is "partial 16S ribosomal RNA". It matches the Rfam family "Bacterial small subunit ribosomal RNA", at positions 29 to 507 of the family's 1533-position model. The record is from RNAcentral.
AACGAACGCUGGCGGCAUGCCUAACACAUGCAAGUCGAACGAGACCUUCGGGUCUAGUGGCGCACGGGUGCGUAACGCGUGGGAACCUGCCCUUAGGUUCGGAAUAACUCCCCGAAAGGGGUGCUAAUACCGGAUAAUGUCUUCGGACCAAAGAUUUAUCGCCUUUGGAUGGGCCCGCGUUGGAUUAGCUAGUUGGUAGGGUAAAAGCCUACCAAGGCGACGAUCCAUAGCUGGUCUGAGAGGAUGAGCAGCCACACUGGGACUGGGACACGGCCCAGACUCCUACGGGAGGCAGCAGUGGGGAAUAUUGGACAAUGGGCGAAAGCCUGAUCCAGCAAGGCCGCGUGAGUGAUGAAGGCCUUAGGGUUGUAAAGCUCUUUUACCCGGGAUGAUAAUGACAGUACCGGGAGAAUAAGCUCCGGCUAACUCCGUG